RNAcentral lists this ribosomal RNA (425 nucleotides) under uncultured bacterium. RNAcentral describes it as "partial 16S ribosomal RNA". It matches the Rfam family "Bacterial small subunit ribosomal RNA", at positions 354 to 796 of the family's 1533-position model. The record is from RNAcentral.
GUGGGGAAUCUUGCGCAAUGGGCGAAAGCCUGACGCAGCCAUGCCGCGUGAAUGAUGAAGGUCUUAGGAUUGUAAAAUUCUUUCACCGGGGACGAUAAUGACGGUACCCGGAGAAGAAGCCCCGGCUAACUUCGUGCCAGCAGCCGCGGUAAUACGAAGGGGGCUAGCGUUGCUCGGAAUUACUGGGCGUAAAGGGCGCGUAGGCGGACAGUUUAGUCAGAGGUGAAAGCCCAGGGCUCAACCUUGGAAUUGCCUUUGAUACUGGCGGUCUUGAGUUCGGGAGGGGGGAGUGGAACUCCGAGUGUAGAGGUGAAAUUCGUAGAUAUUCGGAAGAACACCAGUGGCGAAGGCGACUCACUGGCCCGUUACUGACGCUGAGGCGCGAAAGCGUGGGGAGCAAACAGGAUUAGAAACCCUGGUAGUCC